This 1149-nucleotide ribosomal RNA is filed under the name marine metagenome. RNAcentral describes it as "bacterial SSU rRNA". It matches the Rfam family "Bacterial small subunit ribosomal RNA", at positions 8 to 1193 of the family's 1533-position model. The record is from RNAcentral.
AGAGUUUGAUUAUGGCUCAGAACGAACGCUUGCUGCAUGCUUUAUACAUGCAAGUCGAACGAAGGCCCUAGCUUGCUAGGUGUCCUUAGUGGCGCACGGGUGAGUAACACGUGGGAACAUACCUCAUAGUACGGAAUAACUGCGGGAAACUGUAGCUAAUACCGUAUAUUCCAGAAAUGGGAAAGAUUUAUCGCUAUGAGAUUGGCCCGCGCAAGAUUAGCUUGUUGGUAAGGUAACGGCUUACCAAGGCUCCGAUCUUUAGCUGGUUUGAGAGGAUGAUCAGCCACACUGGGACUGAGACACGGCCCAGACUCCUACGGGAGGCAGCAGUAGGGAAUAUUGGACAAUGGGGGAAACCCUGAUCCAGCAAUGCAGCGUGAGUGACGAAGGCCUUAGGGUUGUAAAACUCUUUCAUCGGUGAGGAUAAUGACAGUAGCCGAAGAAGAAGGACCGGCUAAUUCCGUGCCAGCAGCCGCGGUAAUACGGAAGGUCCUAGCGUUGUUCGGAAUUACUGGGCGUAAAGCGCAUGUAGGCGGAACAAAAAGUUAGAAGUGAAAUCCCUGGGCUCAACCUAGGAAUUGCUUUUAAAACUUUUGUUCUGGAAUUCAGGAGAGGAAAAUGGAAUUUCCAGUGUAGAGGUGAAAUUCGUAGAUAUUGGAAGGAACACCAGUGGCGAAGGCGAUUUUCUGGACUGAUAUUGACGCUGAGAUGCGAAGGCAUGGGUAGCAAACGGGAUUAGAUACCCCGGUAGUCCAUGCAGUAAACGAUGGGUGCUAGUCGUCGGACUUUUGUUCGGUGUCGUAGCUAACGCGUUAAGCACCCCGCCUGGGGAGUACGGUCGCAAGAUUAAAACUCAAAUAAAUUGACGGGGACCCGCACAAGCAGUGGAGCAUGUGGUUUAAUUCGACGCAACGCGAAGAACCUUACCAGCGUUUGACAUGGGAAGUGCCGGUUACAGAAUGGUAACCUUCAGUUCGGCUGGCUUCCGCACAGGUGCUGCAUGGCUGUCGUCAGCUCGUGUCGUGAGAUGUUGGGUUAAGUCCCGCAACGAGCGCAACCCUUAUCGUUAGUUACUAACAGUUCGGCUGAGGACUCUAGCGAAACUGCCGGUGAUAACGCCGGAGGAAGGUGGGGAUGACGUCAAGUCCU